This 346-nucleotide ribosomal RNA is filed under the name uncultured Anaerovibrio sp. RNAcentral's name for it is "bacterial SSU rRNA". It matches the Rfam family "Bacterial small subunit ribosomal RNA", at positions 1 to 339 of the family's 1533-position model. The record is from RNAcentral. Lineage: Bacteria; Bacillati; Bacillota; Negativicutes; Selenomonadales; Selenomonadaceae.
AGUAGUUUGAUCCGUGGCUCGAGGACGACGCUGGCGGCGUGCUUAACACAUGCAAGUCGAACGGGGCGAAGAGGAGCUUGCUCUUCCUAGCCUAGUGGCAAACGGGUGAGUAACGCGUAGGCAACCUGCCCUUCAGAUGGGGACAACAUUUCGAAAGGAAUGCUAAUACCGAAUGACGUGCAUUGGUCGCAUGACCGAUGUACUAAAGGCCGGGCAACCGGUCACUGAAGGAUGGGCCUGCGUCUGAUUAGCUAGUUGGUGGGGUAAUGGCCCACCAAGGCGACGAUCAGUAGCCGGUCUGAGAGGAUGAACGGCCACAUUGGGACUGAGACACGGCCCAAACUCC